UACGUAGGGUGCAAGCGUUAAUCGGAAUUACUGGGCGUAAAGCUUGCGCAGGCGGUUUUGUAAGUCUGUCGUGAAAUCCCCGGGCUCAACCUGGGAAUUGCGAUGGAGACUGCAAGGCUAGAAUCUGGCAGAGGGGGGUAGAAUUCCACGGUGUAGCAGUGAAAUGCGUAGAGAUGUGGAGGAACACCGAUGGCGAAGGCAGCCCCCUGGGUCAAGAUUGACGCUCAUGCACGAAAGCGUGGGGAGCAAACA
Molecule: ribosomal RNA, 252 nt
Filed under: uncultured bacterium
Lineage: Bacteria
Description: partial 16S ribosomal RNA
Rfam family: Bacterial small subunit ribosomal RNA
Source: RNAcentral